Molecule: RNA transcript, 3037 nt
Organism: Elgaria multicarinata webbii
Lineage: Eukaryota; Metazoa; Chordata; Lepidosauria; Squamata; Anguidae
Gene: RSRP1
Gene name: arginine and serine rich protein 1
Exons: 6
Source: RefSeq, a predicted model, not a curated record
CGCCGGUGAGGCGGAUCCUCUGGGAGCUUCUUGCGCGGCGCUGCUUCAGUUGGUGUCCCGGAGCCCCAAGGAGCCGGUCGACCUGGCGGCAGCUGUUGGCUGUGAGGCAUUUUAAGGCCCUUUUUUUGUUCGAGGCUCGCUUUUUCGCAGGCCGUGCCCGAGAGGAAAGCGAGCGGGCUGUCUUGUGGUCGCUUUUGUGGAGACUCCUGAGCGUCUCUUGGUCCUCACGGCUCGGUGGUGCCUGCCUUCUCGUCAUGGCGGUCACCAACGAAACCGGGCUGUCUCCUCAGGCGCCACCGCAGGGCCGAGAUCCCUCUUCUCGGGAAAAGAGCCCUCAGCAGGUCAAUGAAACUUCUGAGCAGAAUGAGAGCUCUGCAGUAGCUGGUGAAAUGGGGACUGAGCAGCAGAAAGCAGAAGGCACUGGUUAUAAAAAUACUGAAAAUCUGAGAUCUAGCAAGAGGACAGAUGAGAUGACAAACUUCAUGGAUCACUUGACUUUGAGUUCACCAAAAGAGAUGUCUCGUUCAAGGUCAAGGAGCAGCUGUAGCAGGAAAUCCUCCUCAAGAUCAUCUAGCAGGUCAUCUUACAAUUCACAAGCUAGUUCAAGCACUUCAUCUUCAAGAAGCUCUAGGAGUAGUUCUAGGAGCAGAUCAAGAUCACGUGCUAAAAGGAAUUGUUCUCAGAGGUUCAGAAGAUAUUCAAGGUCUUAUUCUAGGAGUCAAUCAAGAUCACGCAGUUACAGAUAUCGAGAAAGGUACCAUCCUAGAUACUACAGGAGAUACCGUUGUUCUCCUCCAAGAUACAGAUCACGGAGCCGGUCUGCUGGAAGAUUGUACUAUAGGAGAUCUUACUCAAGAAGCAGAUCGAGAAGCCAAAGAUAUUAUGGAUUUGGAAGGACCAUAUAUCCUGAGGCUUAUAGAAGCUGGAGAAGCCGCUCCCAAUCAAGAUCCCGCAGUAGAACUCCUCUACGCUUGACUAAAAAAGAAAAGAGAGAACUACUGGAAAUAGCAAAGGCUAAUGCAGCAAAAACCUUUGGAACAGACACUACCUUGCCAGCCAGCUUGAGAAUCAGUACAAAAUUAAAAGGAAAUGAAAUUGGAAGCCAAAAGACAACAGCAUAGGGUCAGAGAAAUGAGGAAUAUUGUCUCCAGCACUGAUGAAGAAAAUCUGGUGGUAAUUAAGUGAUUGUGGGCUGUAGCUGUGCUGACUUAGGGGAGGGAAAUAUGAGCCACGCUAAUAAAGCUUUGUCAUGUUAACACAUUUUCAGAUAGUUGGAAAACUUUUAUUCAGAUGUUCCUGCUCCUGUAUAGCAGGGAACUAGUUUUAUUUAGUAAUUUAAGCAAGGAUUUUAUGCAACUGUAAACUGGUAUAGGUGACCCUCAUGAUAUGUGCAAUAUAUUCCAGAUGUUGAAAGUCAGAAGAAGCAGCUUGCAUCACUUGCAGAUAAGUUAUUGAUCUUACACAAAUCUUUGCAGACUUUAUAUGCAGGAGUCAAUGGAGGUCAUUAUUUUAAUGAGAUUACACUUCAUGAAUUCAUUUCCCAAUUACGUAGUGAUAACCUAAACUCUGGGGAUGGAUAUGAAGGCUGUACACAGUAUGUUUACUGAAAAUAACAAGCACGAAAUUACUAAUAAAUAUGCGGUAACUUGUCCGCACCUGAAGCCUGAUUCUGACCUUGUUAAUUGAAUAGGUUUACUGGGAAAUAUUUCCAGGUAAGGAAGUUUAAAACCGCAUCUAUAGCAUGUGCAUUUUAGCUUCGAGACAAAAAAACCUAUAACUGCUCAGCCAUCUAGGUGACAUUGGUUUUAAAAUACAAACCUCCCUCUCUAGCAAUCCAGAAAGCAAACUGAAGAUGGCAAAAAUGGAACUGAGACUGCUUCUGCAAUGAAGGGCAUAGUAUUCAGUCCUAAUAAUUCAGUGGCAAGACUAGUGGCCUCGAAACCAGUAAGUCUUCCUUUUAAUGUGACUGCAGUAUCCCAAGGAAGAGACGAAACAAGGGGAGACACCAUCUGAGCAAUGGAUUCCUGUUAAGAAUGAGGGAAAUGCCCUGUUCCAUAAUUUUCACCUAAAACUACAUCUUUUAGAGGACGCUAGUUCUGUUCAUUGAGUAGUUGAGGCAGUAUGAAAUCCUCUCAAAAUUUAGGGUUUAAAUGCAGGGUUAAUUUGAUAUUGAGUUUGUUUUCCAGAUAUAAAAUAGAGUACAGAGGCCCAGAAAUUACAGGUGGGAAUUUACAUUUCUGUAAUUACCUUUAAUGUAAUGGUACCAGAUUAAAUUACAGGUGGGUAUCUCUUUUCUAAGUGUGAGUCAUGUAGCAGUUUUCAAUGUUCUACUAUGUGUAACUUGAUUACUACAAAUAAACCUAUGUUUUGUACAUUUCAAUACUGUUGAGUCAACACUUUAAACAGUGUGAUUUAUGGCUCCUGCUGGUAAUUCAAUUGGCUUGUUUAGUUGCCCCAUAUUUCCUGAAUGCAGCUGUAUUUUGCAAAAGGCAAGACAGUGAAAAAAUGCCACUUGUUCUCUUAAAGUGAUGAAAUCCUAACUUUGGCAUCUGCAUAGUUGUAGUUCCUACACUUUUAGUUAAACUUGAUAUUGGAAAAGCUUAAUUAUGACGCUCUGAGCUUGUUAUGCAUGUUCUAAGUAACUGCCUUUAGGUAAGGUCUUGGUUGUAGAUUUUGAAAUUUAAGUUUUUCCUUGCUCUUUACCGGAAAGGCUUACAUUUUAAUGGAAACGCAAUUUAAGCAGGCUAUAGUUCAAGCAGAAAGGGCUGCUCAGGGCAAGCUUUGUUACUAGAUCUCAAAUUGAAUGUCAUAUGAAACCAGCUAUUAGGGAGUCCAUUCGUUGCAUAGAUUUAUUACUGUGUAGCUAAGUGGGGUUGGUUUGUAUGACAUUCAAGGAGAAGAUGCUGGACUACACUAAUUGGUUCAGAAGCUAAAAUUAAGGAACACUUCGUAUAAACGACACCUUCCCUUCAAUCUCCAUACUACUGGAACAUAUGUAUAAAACAAAGUUUUUUAAAAAAUAAACCUGUUCUAAAUA